GUUCCAAGAUGGAAGAAGAACUAUGUGAUGAAGCUGACCGAAAUCAACCAGCUCAGAUCCGGAUCACAUCAACAGGACUCACUCAUUGAAGAUGAAUCACAACUGGACAGGGAUCUUC
Molecule: long non-coding RNA, 118 nt
Organism: Fundulus heteroclitus (mummichog)
Lineage: Eukaryota; Metazoa; Chordata; Actinopteri; Cyprinodontiformes; Fundulidae
Exons: 3
Source: RefSeq, a predicted model, not a curated record